UUUGAUCCUGGCUCAGGACGAACGCUGGCGGCGUGCCUAAUACAUGCAAGUCGAGCGGACGGAUGGGAGCUUGCUCCCUGAAGUCAGCGGCGGACGGGUGAGUAACACGUGGGCAACCUGCCUGUAAGACUGGGAUAACUUCGGGAAACCGGAGCUAAUACCGGAUACGUUCUUCUCUCGCAUGAGAGAAGAUGGAAAGAUGGUUUUGGCUAUCACUUACAGAUGGGCCCGCGGCGCAUUAGCUAGUUGGUGGGGUAAUGGCCCACCAAGGCGACGAUGCGUAGCCGACCUGAGAGGGUGAUCGGCCACACUGGGACUGAGACACGGCCCAGACUCCUACGGGAGGCAGCAGUAGGGAAUCUUCCGCAAUGGACGAAAGUCUGACGGAGCAACGCCGCGUGAACGAUGAAGGCUUUCGGGUCGUAAAGUUCUGUUGUUAGGGAAGAACAAGUACCAGAGUAACUGCUGGUACCUUGACGGUACCUAACCAGAAAGCCACGGCUAACUACGUG
This 512-nucleotide ribosomal RNA is filed under the name uncultured Bacillus sp. RNAcentral describes it as "bacterial SSU rRNA". It matches the Rfam family "Bacterial small subunit ribosomal RNA", at positions 12 to 507 of the family's 1533-position model. Lineage: Bacteria; Bacillati; Bacillota; Bacilli; Caryophanales; Bacillaceae. The record is from RNAcentral.